This 323-nucleotide ribosomal RNA is filed under the name uncultured fungus. RNAcentral describes it as "eukaryotic LSU rRNA". The stretch from base 1 to 71 matches the Rfam family "5.8S ribosomal RNA", at positions 84 to 154 of the family's 154-position model. The record is from RNAcentral. Lineage: Eukaryota; Fungi.
GUGAGUCAUCGAGUCUUUGAACGCACCUUGCGCUCCUUGGUAUUCCGAGGAGCACACCUGUUUGAGUGUCAUGAAAUUCUCAACCUUACAAACUUUUGUGUUUGAUUUGGCUUGGAGUUGGAGGCUUGCUGAUGGGAAAUUCCUUUGGCUCCUCUCAAAUGCAUUAGCUUGGUUCCUUGCGGAUUGGCUCCUGGUGUGAUAAAUGUUUACGCCGCAGCUGUUGAAGCGAUUUGGGCAAGCUCCUAACCGUCUCGAUAUUGAGAGACAGCUUUUUGAACAUGACAUCUGACCUCAAAUCAGGUGGGACUACCCGCUGAACUUAA